UACGUAGGGUGCGAGCGUUAAUCGGAAUUACUGGGCGUAAAGCGUGCGCAGGCGGUUGUGCAAGGCAGGUGUGAAAUCCCCGGGCUUAACCUGGGAACUGCACUUGUGACUGCACAGCUGGAGUACGGCAGAGGGGGAUGGAAUUCCGCGUGUAGCAGUGAAAUGCGUAGAUAUGCGGAGGAACACCGAUGGCGAAGGCAGUCCCCUGGGCCUGUACUGACGCUCAUGCACGAAAGCGUGGGGAGCAAACAGG
This 253-nucleotide ribosomal RNA is filed under the name uncultured bacterium. RNAcentral's name for it is "partial 16S ribosomal RNA". It matches the Rfam family "Bacterial small subunit ribosomal RNA", at positions 524 to 776 of the family's 1533-position model. The record is from RNAcentral.